AUAACGGAGCUUCCAUUUUAUCACCUUCGUCAAUGUGAAAGGACAGCUUUAUGAGCUGGAUGGUAGGAUGGAGGGACGGUCAACCAUGGAAACCACAAGGAUGACUCCUUCAUCAAGGAUGCAGCCAGGGUGUGUCGGGGUUUUGUGGAGAGAGCAGAGGGAGGAGGUCCGCUUCUCCGCUGUGGCCCUCUGUCAUACCUA
Molecule: long non-coding RNA, 201 nt
Organism: Salvelinus sp. IW2-2015
Lineage: Eukaryota; Metazoa; Chordata; Actinopteri; Salmoniformes; Salmonidae
Source: RefSeq, a predicted model, not a curated record